This 253-nucleotide ribosomal RNA is filed under the name uncultured bacterium. Its description in RNAcentral is "partial 16S ribosomal RNA". It matches the Rfam family "Bacterial small subunit ribosomal RNA", at positions 524 to 776 of the family's 1533-position model. The record is from RNAcentral.
UACGAGGGGGGCGAGUGUUGUUCGGAAUUAUUGGGCGUAAAGGGUGCGUAGGCGGCCUGACAAGUCUGAUGUGAAAUCCCUGGGCUCAACCCAGGGCCUGCAUCGGAAACUGUCGGGCUUGAGUAUGGGAGAGGUGAGUGGAAUUUCCGGUGUAGCGGUGAAAUGCGUAGAUAUCGGAAGGAACACCUGUGGCGAAAGCGGCUCACUGGACCAUUACUGACGCUGAGGCACGAAAGCUAGGGGAGCAAACAGG